This 253-nucleotide ribosomal RNA is filed under the name uncultured bacterium. Its description in RNAcentral is "partial 16S ribosomal RNA". It matches the Rfam family "Bacterial small subunit ribosomal RNA", at positions 524 to 776 of the family's 1533-position model. The record is from RNAcentral.
UACGAGGGGUGCGAGCGUUGCUCGGAAUUAUUGGGCGUAAAGGGUAGGUAGGUGGUUUCGUUUGUCCGGGGUGAAAGCCUUGGGCUUAACUCAAGAAGUGCCCCGGAAACGGCGAAACUAGAGUACUGGAGAGGGUCGUGGAAUUCCCGGUGUAGCGGUGAAAUGCGUAGAGAUCGGGAGGAACACCAGAGGCGAAGGCGGCGACCUGGACAGUGACUGACACUCAACUACGAAAGCGUGGGGAGCAAACAGG